GACGAACGCUGGCGGCGUGCUUAACACAUGCAAGUCGAACGGAAAGGCCUUUUCGGAGGUACUCGAGUGGCGAACGGGUGAGUAACACGUGGGUGAUCUGCCCUGCACUCUGGGAUAAGCCUGGGAAACUGGGUCUAAUACCGGAUAGGACCGCACUUUAGUGUGUGUGGUGGAAAGUUUUUUCGGUGUAGGAUGAGCCCGCGGCCUAUCAGCUUGUUGGUGGGGUAAUGGCCUACCAAGGCGGCGACGGGUAGCCGGACUGAGAGGUUGGUCGGCCACAUUGGGACUGAGAUACGGCCCAGACUCCUACGGGAGGCAGCAGGGGGGAAUAUUGCACAAUGGGCGCAAGCCUGAUGCAGCGACGCCGCGUGGGGGAUGACGGCCUUCGGGUUGUAAACUCCUUUCGCCAGGGACGAAGCGUUUUGUGACGGUACCUGGAGAAGAAGCACCGGCUAACUACGUG
This 463-nucleotide ribosomal RNA is filed under the name uncultured bacterium. Its description in RNAcentral is "partial 16S ribosomal RNA". It matches the Rfam family "Bacterial small subunit ribosomal RNA", at positions 28 to 507 of the family's 1533-position model. The record is from RNAcentral.